GACGAACGCUGGCGGCGUGCCUAACACAUGCAAGUUGAGCGACGAACCAGGGCUUGCCCUGGGGCAAAGCAGCGAACGGGUGAGUAACACGUGGGUAACCUACCCCGAUAACCGGGACAACCCGAGGAAACUCGGGCUAAUACCGGAUGUGCUCACUGGACUUCGGUUCAGUGCGUAAAGGAAGCUUCGGCCUCCGUAUCGGGAGGGGCCCGCGGCCCAUUAGUUUGUUGGUGAGGUAACGGCUCACCAAGACCGCGAUGGGUAGCUGGUCUGAGAGGACGAUCAGCCACACUGGGACUGAGACACGGCCCAGACUCCUACGGGAGGCAGCAGUGGGGAAUCUUGCGCAAUGCGCGAAAGCGUGACGCAGCAACGCCGCGUGGGGGAAGAAGGCCUUCGGGUUGUAAACCCCUUUCAGGAGGGACGAAGGUUCGGCGGUGAAUAGCCGUCCGGACUGGCGGUACCUCCACAAGAAGCCCCGGCUAACUACGUG
Molecule: ribosomal RNA, 493 nt
Filed under: uncultured bacterium
Lineage: Bacteria
Description: partial 16S ribosomal RNA
Rfam family: Bacterial small subunit ribosomal RNA
Source: RNAcentral